UGAACGCGAAGAACCUUACCUAGGCUUGACAUAUACCGAAAACCUGCAGAGAUGUAGGGUCCGCAAGGGCGGUAUACAGGUGGUGCAUGGUUGUCGUCAGCUCGUGUCGUGAGAUGUUGGGUUAAGUCCCGCAACGAGCGCAACCCUCGUCCUAUGUUGCCAGCGGAUAAUGCCGGGGACUCAUAGGAGACUGCCGGGGUCAACUCGGAGGAAGGUGGGGAUGACGUCAAAUCAUCAUGCCCCUUAUGUCUAGGGCUGCACGCAUGCUACAAUGGUCGGUACAAAGGGCUGCGAUACCACGAGGUGGAGCGAAUCCCAAAAAGCCGGCCUCAGUUCGGAUUGUUUGUCUGCAACUCGACCCCAUGAAGUCGGAGUCGCUAGUAAUCGCAGAUCAGCAAAGGCUGCGGUGAAUACGUUCCCGGGUCUUGUACACACGCA
Molecule: ribosomal RNA, 438 nt
Filed under: bacterium CPTAC6D
Lineage: Bacteria
Description: bacterial SSU rRNA
Rfam family: Bacterial small subunit ribosomal RNA
Source: RNAcentral